GCAAACGCUGGCGCCGUGCCUUCUACUUGCAGUCGCGCGAAUGGAUUAAGAGCUUGCUCUUAUGAAGUUAGCGGCGGACGGGUGAGUAACACGUGGGUAACCUGCCCAUAAGACUGGGAUAACUCCGGGAAACCGGGGCUAAUACCGGAUAACAUUUUGAACCGCAUGGUUCGAAAUUGAAAGGCGGCUUCGGCUGUCACUUAUGGAUGGACCCGCGUCGCAUUAGCUAGUUGGUGAGGUAACGGCUCACCAAGGCAACGAUGCGUAGCCGACCUGAAAGGGUGAUCGGCCACACUGGGACUGAGACACGGCCCAGACUCCUACGGGAGGCAGCAGUAGGGAAUCUUCCGCAAUGGACGAAAGUCUGACGGAGCAACGCCGCGUGAGUGAUGAAGGCUUUCGGGUCGUAAAACUCUGUUGUUAGGGAAGAACAAGUGCUAGUUGAAUAAGCUGGCACCUUGACGGUACCUAACCAGAAAGCCACGGCUAACUACGUGCCAGCAGCCGCGAUAAUACGUAGGUGGCAAGCGUUAUCCGGAAUUAUUGGGCGUAAAGCGCGAGCAGGUGGUUUCUUAAGUCUGAUGUGAAAGCCCACGGCUCAACCGUGGAGGGUCAUUGGAAACUGGGAGACUUGAGUGCAGAAGAGGAAAGUGGAAUUCCAUGUGUAGCGGUGAAAUGCGUAGAGAUAUGGAGGACACCAGUGGCGAAGCGACUUUCUGUCUGUACUGACACUGAGGCGCGAAAGCGUGGGGGAGCAACAGGAUUAGAUACCCUGGUAGUCCACGCCGUAACGAUGAGUGCUAAGUGGUAAAGGGUUUCGGC
Molecule: ribosomal RNA, 822 nt
Filed under: Bacillus cereus
Lineage: Bacteria; Bacillati; Bacillota; Bacilli; Caryophanales; Bacillaceae
Description: bacterial SSU rRNA
Rfam family: Bacterial small subunit ribosomal RNA
Source: RNAcentral